RNAcentral lists this ribosomal RNA (483 nucleotides) under uncultured bacterium. RNAcentral's name for it is "partial 16S ribosomal RNA". It matches the Rfam family "Bacterial small subunit ribosomal RNA", at positions 30 to 506 of the family's 1533-position model. The record is from RNAcentral.
AUUGAACGCUGGCGGCAGGCCUAACACAUGCAAGUCGAGCGGAUGAGUGGAGCUUGCUCCCUGAUUCAGCGGCGGACGGGUGAGUAAUGCCUACGAAUCUGCCUGGUAGUGGGGGACAACGUUUCGAAAGGAACGCUAAUACCGCAUACGUCCUACGGGAGAAAGUGGGGGAUCUUCGGACCUCACGCUAUCAGAUGAGCCUAGGUCGGAUUAGCUAGUUGGUGAGGUAAAGGCUCACCAAGGCGACGAUCCGUAACUGGUCUGAGAGGAUGAUCAGUCACACUGGAACUGAGACACGGUCCAGACUCCUACGGGAGGCAGCAGUGGGGAAUAUUGGACAAUGGGCGAAAGCCUGAUCCAGCCAUGCCGCGUGUGUGAAGAAGGUCUUCGGAUUGUAAAGCACUUUAAGUUGGGAGGAAGGGCAGUAAGUUAAUACCUUGCUGUUUUGACGUUACCAACAGAAUAAGCACCGGCUAACUUCGU